This 229-nucleotide ribosomal RNA is filed under the name uncultured bacterium. RNAcentral's name for it is "partial 16S ribosomal RNA". It matches the Rfam family "Bacterial small subunit ribosomal RNA", at positions 568 to 796 of the family's 1533-position model. The record is from RNAcentral.
UGCGUAGGCGGGAUAAUAAGUCAGUGGUGAAAGCCUGCAGCUUAACUGUAGAAUUGCCAUUGAUACUGUUAUCCUUGAGUAUAGUUGAGGUGGGCGGAAUGUGUCAUGUAGCGGUGAAAUGCUUAGAUAUGACACAGAACACCGAUUGCGUAGGCAGCUCACUAAACUAUCACUGACGCUGAGGCACGAAAGCGUGGGGAGCGAACAGGAUUAGAUACCCUGGUAGUCC